AGAGACUCUGGCUACUAUAUUAUUGUUAACAUAAAAUAUUUAUUGCUAUUGAGUAUUUCAUUAUUAAAUUUAUUUUUUUAAUUAUUUUUAUUUAUUAAAUUAUACUAUUUCACUAACCAGUCAUUCAAUUUUAAAAAAUUAUUAUCAUUUUAACCAUACAUUUCGUCAUCCAAGAAGUGAAAAUUUAAUAAUGCUAUCAAUUUGAUGCUAUUAAUAGUAUAGCACGUCGUUCUCUCUUUAUAUAUAUAUAUAUAUAAUUGAGCUUUUAUAUUUUUUAAAUAAGUGUUUUAAUGUUGGACUUUUUAAAAAAUACGAUUCUUCGAAAGUUUAAAUAUUUUUUUUUUGGAGAUAAAUAAUUAUUUCAUAUAAUUUAAUACGGCAAUGCGGGACCUGAACGGCGAGGAGCGGGCGGUGGAGCCCCUCGAGGUUCAUGACGCCGGUGUACGGCACCAGCUGCUGCAGUAUCUCCUCCGCGAUGCCGCCGCCGCCCCCGUCGGCGAGGUCCGCGACCGCCACCGCCUCCGCCGCGGCCUCCANGCUUUGCUCUCUUCUCUUUACUCACAAUAUCAAUAGCAAUAAUAACAAAAUUAAUUUAAAUUUAAAACCCGAUCAAUUUAGUUUCACGCCAGAUCAACAAUCGACACCGUUAAAUUUGAUCAAAAAAUAGUUGAACUUUACGAAAAUCAAAUUUCGCAAUAUUUUUUAUAUUAUUUGUCUGGAAUUCUUGCGGUUCUAAAUCUGACCAUUUGUAGUGGCUAAAUACAAGAUGAAUUAAGAUUUGAGACCACUUAACUACCGGAUACAUAAUUUUGUAGGAUUAUAAAAAGACAGCAUCUGAUUUAUGGUGCCAAUUAUUAGCAAACAGUUCCUUUUUCUUCUCCAAGUAUUCUAGUUUUUACUUAAUGAAAUUGACUAAACUCAAAUAGACUUAAUCUUCUUUUCUUUUUCUUUUUUUUUGUUUUUAAAGGGUUAAAAUGUUCUUGACAGAUUAAGUUUAUAGUCAACAAAUUCCCCUAUUACUUCAACGGAUUCUUGGUCCUUGCCUAGGUUCUCUAGUCUCUUUACACUUAACUCUCUGGCUAUUAUUAUAUAUAGGAAAAACUUCAAAAAUUCCUCCUGUGGUUUAGCACAUUUUUUUUUAGUAUUCUAUAAUUUAAAGUGUAUCAAAUUAGUAUCCUGUAAUUUCGUACUUUCUCACUUUAAUACCUGUGGUUUAAAGUGUAUCAAGUUAGUACUCCGUGGUUUUACUUUUGUAUCAAGUUAGUGCCAUGUGAUUUUAUUUUUAUAUCAAGUUAGUACCCUAUGGUUUUUAAACCACAAAAUACUAAAGUGAUAAAGUGCAAAAUCACAAGGUACUAAAGUGAUAAAGUGCGAAAUCACAGGGUACUAACUUGAUGUACUUUAAACCACAGAGUACUAAAGUGAAAAAGUACAAAACCACAAGGUACUAACUUGAUACACUUUAAACCACAUAGUACUAAAGUGAGAAAAAGUGAAACCACAAGAGGGAUAUUUGAAGUUUUCUCUUAUAUACAUAAGAAAAUCUGACUUUUGUUGUAUCUUUUAGGUCUAUUAGCUAGAAUUAAUACGGAGAAAGUGAGUAAAUUUAAUUGAAAAACCAGAUCAAGGAUCUAAUCUUUUUUUUUUUUUUUUUUGAGAAAAAGGUAACAUGCCACCCGCUUCAUUUAUUUCAUUUAGAAAUAAACUUAGCUCAAAAUAUAAAUCAACUAGAAUUUGAACUUGAGUCUCGAAUAUCAACCAUCAAAUUUUUUUGCCACUUGCGCUAGCGCUAGGAACAGUCGGUCUAAUCAUUAAUUUAUUAAAGUACAAUUUUUGACCUUUUAGUUCCUUUUUUAAGUACCUAAUAAUUUAUUUCUAUAGUAUUGCUUGGUCUACCAUCCAAAAUUAAUUGUAAUCCUACAGUCAUCCCCUCCAAAGUUCAUUUUUCCUUUACAAGUCCUUUUUUUUUUCCUUUUUGCUUUUUACUAAAAGCUAAAAAAUAUUAGUAAAUCCUAAAACCUUUGAAUGAAAAUUGUAAAAGUUACGACCAUUUUGCUUGUAGACUUGAUAUUUCUUUUAUUUCUAUCACUAAAUUUUAGUCUGUAAUGCUUUCAAAUUUCUACCUAGUAAAAAGUAAUAGUGUCUAAAUGGUCUUGUCUAAUAGGAAAAAAUUUCUUACUAACUUUAAUUUGUUUGUAAGUAAAAAACUGAUUUAUUAUCAUUCUUUUUCUAAACAAGAAAACAAUGCAAUACAGAUAUAUAUAGAGAGAGACUCUGACUACUAUAUUAUUGUUAACAUAAAAUAUUUAUUGCUAUUGAGUUUUUCAUUAUUAAAUUUAUUUUUUUAAUUAUUUUUAUUCAUUAAAUUAUACUAUUUCACUAACUAGCCAUUCAAUUUUAGAAAAUUAUUAUCAUUUUAACCAUAUAUUUCGUCAUCCAAGGAGCGAAAAUUUAAUAAUGCUAUCAAUUUGAUGCUAUUAAUAGUAUAGCAACAUCAUUCUCUCUUUAUAUAUAUAUAUAUAAUUGAGCUUCUAUAUUUUUUUAAAUAAGUAUUUUAAUGUUGGACUUUUUAAAAAAUACGAUUCUUCAAAAGUUUAAAUAUUUUUUUUUUUGAGACAAAUAAUUAUUUCAUAUAAUUUAAUAUGAUAAUGCCGGACCUGAACGGCGAGGAGCGGGCGGUGGAGGCCCUCGAGGUUCAUGACGCCGGUGUACGGCACCAGCUGCUGCAGUAUCUCCUCCGCGAUGCCGCCGCNAAAUAAUUAUUUCAUAUAAUUUAAUAUGAUAAUGCCGGACCUGAACGGCGAGGAGCGGGCGGUGGAGGUCCGCGACCGCCACCGCCUCCGCCGCGGCCUCCACCACCUCGGCCCCCAACACCCCCUCCCCCUCGCACUCCACCAUUAGCACCCCCUCCUCAUCCUGCUUUAUCCUCC
Molecule: long non-coding RNA, 2930 nt
Filed under: Ananas comosus (pineapple)
Lineage: Eukaryota; Viridiplantae; Streptophyta; Magnoliopsida; Poales; Bromeliaceae
Description: long non-coding RNA (ACOM_LNC032008)
Source: RNAcentral